UAUCUAAUUCACAGAGUCGGAGAAAUAAAAUGAUGAAUAAUCAGUCAAGUGUUAGAGGAGCAGUUGUCAAAUAUUUCUAAAUGGAUUUUGUUUUUGUACCCUCUGUGUAGGAGCAUUUCAUCUAUAUAAUGUUACUCUGGCUUGCAGCCUUUUCCGGGUAUUCUUGAAUUCCCUAUCCCAGUCUCUUUUCAUGGUGAUCCUAAACAAUUAUCAGUAUGGACAAGUGCUUGGCCCCGGCUUUUAUCAUACAGCUCAAGUUGUUCGGGACUCUUACAGAAUAAUUAUUGCAAAAUAAUUAAGUCAAACCUCUUGUAUUUGCUGUUGUCUAGAUAGUUGCUCGUUUGAACUCGCUGGAUCGUGAAAUCACAAAUGAUGACUCAAGAUGCACAGCUGAUGCGAGACGAAUGAAAGAUGAGUUGGAGAAAAAGAACAAUGAUUUGAGUUCCGUUGAAAAGGAGGCAGACAAAUUUUUGAAGAAUUCGGAGAAGAGGCUCCAAGAUGCAAUACUCAAAGAUGAUGAAGAAACUCAGGCAGCUGCGAGAGAGCUGCUGCAACUUAUUGAUUCCAUUGCUGAGCAUAAAGAGUUCAUGGAAGCAACAAUUGCUCAGAGGAAGGAACUGUAUGAAACUGCAGAUUAUAUAGCCUCUUUGUCAUCCAAGACAUCAUCAACCAAUCCUCAUACCUAAAUGAUUAGAAAGUCUCAUGAUAAAUUGCUGAUUCCCCUGCGCUUCCUUGAGGUCUUGAGAUUAUCGCUAUAGCCUAUGUUAAGUUCAUUUCACCUGAAGGAGCUAAGUACCUAAAUGUUUAGUUGUCACUAUUACUUGGUCCUUGCUGUGGCUGCAUAUAUCGUUUUAGUCUCC
Molecule: long non-coding RNA, 860 nt
Organism: Panicum virgatum (switchgrass)
Lineage: Eukaryota; Viridiplantae; Streptophyta; Magnoliopsida; Poales; Poaceae
Exons: 2
Source: RefSeq, a predicted model, not a curated record